GGAUUGUGGCUCAGUGGUAGAGCGCUUGCCUAGCAUACCUCACGUGAGGCACUGGGUUCGAUCCCCAGCACCA
This 73-nucleotide transfer RNA is filed under the name Marmota monax (woodchuck). RNAcentral's name for it is "tRNA.Ala". The record is from RNAcentral. Lineage: Eukaryota; Metazoa; Chordata; Mammalia; Rodentia; Sciuridae.